CUUCGGCGGGAUGCGAGGCCUAGAAGGGCGACGGCGCCCGGGUGGCGAUGCGGCGUGCGGGCUUCGGCGGGAAAGCGCAGGCAGGCAGGAGCAGCAGCCGCGGAGCUUCCGGGGGAAGCAUCGAGCGACCCUUGGGGCGCUGUUCGGCUCUCCCGUUAGUACUAUACCGCAUUCAAACUGUGGCAGAACAGUAACUUUAAAACCAAGCAAAAUCUCGACCUAAACAGAACCGUUCGAUAGGCCAUAGGUUGAGUACCAAAAACAGGAGGGCGUUGGUAGAAGGCUGAAAUAACUUGAAAAGAAGAGAAUUGCGAGGGAAAUUUGAAGAAUAAGGAAUGGUUUCGGACCUCGGUAGGAAUGUAAAGUGCAUUCUAUAUAGCUUGAUUUGCGGACAAAGUUAGGAAGCCUCAUAAUAGUUCCAAAGCGUAGCUUACUCGACAAGAAUUGCAAGCUUAAUGCCGGCAUUUACUUUAGAUUGUACAGAUGGUGUUGAGUUAUGCAACGCAACUAAGCAGUGGAGUAAAAGAAUUGUUGUGAGCAUAUAGUCUUGCCUAAACUCCUGGCCAUUGUAGGAAAUCUCCCAGUGUAAGCCCCUGAACAAGAGCUUCAGAAGAUCAAGACUCCCAUCUGCAAAGGGUUUAACAAAUGAUCCAGAGGCUAUAAAAGGAAGAUAUACUGGUUCAUUACUUGCAGCAAGAUUAACAUGGGGACUAGCUGCAUUGCUAUAAACCUCCGUUUGCCUCUACCUGCAAGCACUCUAGCAUGGAUGGACCCUGGAUAAUCAAAUAGGUGGUGUUGCAAAGAAAGUUGAGUCCUCGUGACUGGACUAGACUGAAAAAUAAGCAUCGGGAUAUCUCUGAAGUAAAAAGGUCUUGGGUGACUUUGAAGAGCUCUUUGUACUUACACUGCUGAGAAAGGUUCGGGCUAGGGGAUUAACUAAUUGGAGUACUGAUAGAAGGCCAGGCUCCAAUAUUCCUCUACUGAGACAGAGUGAGGAAACAUGAAGAGGACUGGCUUGAGGCAUCAGAGAACCGAUUAAACCGGCUGGUGUCCUGGCAGGACUUCUGUCCCUCUGAGGAAUCCACCAUUUUGAACUGGCUGUUGACUUGAAAGGAUGCGAGAAGCCCUGCCCUUUCUCCAGAAGAGAUUUAAUUUCAAGUGUUGGAAGAGAAGCUUGAAACCAACAGCUGCGGCAUUGGGAUAAUAAAAUGAUUGUUAAUCCUA
This is a long non-coding RNA of Varanus komodoensis (Komodo dragon), 1224 nucleotides long. RefSeq lists it as uncharacterized. Lineage: Eukaryota; Metazoa; Chordata; Lepidosauria; Squamata; Varanidae. The transcript is spliced from 12 exons. The record is from RefSeq and is a predicted model, not a curated record.